GGUCCUCUGACAGGAAAGACCAAAGACAUGGCAGGCAGGAAAUUCCAGGACCCAUUAGAAAUCAUGUGGCAAAUGCUGAAGGAAUGUCUGCAGAGAAGACAAGAAAUGAAAGGAGAGCCUGCGGAGAAAGAAGCAUUUCCCGGAGGAAGCAGUGGUUGCAUGCCAGCCUCAGCUCCAGGAAGGGAGGCCAUGCCAGGCACAGGCACAGGAGAUGAGGGUGCUGGGAAGGCUUCUCCAUCAGCUUGGAUGAAUAAAGUUUUGAAGCCCUUGGAGCCUCCUGCAGAUGUGUCUACAGGGAAGACUUCUCCAGCUUCUCCGGCUGCUACCUUGGAUGCUGCACUCAAGCCCAGCUCCCAUCUCAGGGGUACUCCAACAGGGAAAAUCCAAGAUACAACAGAUAAGAUAUCCCUGGAACCAUCCAAACAGAUGAGGCAAGAGCUGAAGGAACCCCUGCAGACAAGAGAAG
Passer domesticus (house sparrow) is the source of this 466-nucleotide long non-coding RNA. RefSeq lists it as uncharacterized. The record is from RefSeq and is a predicted model, not a curated record. The transcript is spliced from 5 exons. Lineage: Eukaryota; Metazoa; Chordata; Aves; Passeriformes; Passeridae.